GGGUUGUGAGGUUAAGCGACUAAGCGUACACGGUGGAUGCCCUGGCAGUCAGAGGCGAUGAAGGGCGUGCUAAUCUGCGAUAAGCGCCGGUAAGGUGAUAUGAACCGUUAUAACCGGCGAUACCCGAAUGGGGAAACCCAGUGUGAUUCGUCACACUAUCAUUAACUGAAUCCAUAGGUUAAUGAGGCGAACCGGGGAACUGAAACAUCUAAGUACCCCGAGGAAAAGAAAUCAACCGAGAUUCCCCAGUAGCGGCGAGCGAACGGGGAGGAGCCCAGAGCCUGAAUCAGCAUGUGUGUUAGUGGAAGCGUCUGGAAAGGCGCGCGAUACAGGGUGACAGCCCCGUACACAAAAGCGCAUGUGCUGUGAGCUCGAUGAGUAGGGCGGGACACGUGGUAUCCUGUCUGAAUAUGGGGGGACCAUCCUCCAAGGCUAAAUACUCCUGACUGACCGAUAGUGAACCAGUACCGUGAGGGAAAGGCGAAAAGAACCCCGGCGAGGGAGUGAAAAAGAACCUGAAACCGUGUACGUACAAGCAGUGGGAGCACCCUUUGGGGUGUGACUGCGUACCUUUUGUAUAAUGGGUCAGCGACUUAUAUUCUGUAGCAAGGUUAACCGUAUAGGGGAGCCGGAGGGAAACCGAGUCUUAACCGGGCGUUAAGUUGCAGGGUAUAGACCCGAAACCCGGUGAUCUAGCCAUGGGCAGGUUGAAGGUUGGGUAACACUAACUGGAGGACCGAACCGACUAAUGUUGAAAAAUUAGCGGAUGACCUGUGGCUGGGGUGAAAGGCCAAUCAAACCGGGAGAUAGCUGGUUCUCCCCGAAAGCUAUUUAGGUAGCGCCUCGUGAAUUCAUCUCCGGGGUAGAGCACUGUUUCGGCUAGGGGGCCAUCCCGGCUUACCAACCCGAUGCAAACUGCGAAUACCGGAGAAUGUUAUCACGGGAGACACACGGCGGGUGCUAACGUCCGUCGUGAAGAGGGAAACAACCCAGACCGCCAGCUAAGGUCCCAAAGUCAUGGUUAAGUGGGAAACGAUGUGGGAAGGCCCAGACAGCCAGGAUGUUGGCUUAGAAGCAGCCAUCAUUUAAAGAAAGCGUAAUAGCUCACUGGUCGAGUCGGCCUGCGCGGAAGAUGUAACGGGGCUAAACCAUGCACCGAAGCUGCGGCAGCGACGCUGAUGCGUUGUUGGGUAGGGGAGCGUUCUGUAAGCCUGCGAAGGUGGCCUGUGAGGGUUGCUGGAGGUAUCAGAAGUGCGAAUGCUGACAUAAGUAACGAUAAAGCGGGUGAAAAGCCCGCUCGCCGGAAGACCAAGGGUUCCUGUCCAACGUUAAUCGGGGCAGGGUGAGUCGACCCCUAAGGCGAGGCCGAAAGGCGUAGUCGAUGGGAAACGGGUUAAUAUUCCCGUACUUGGUGUUACUGCGAAGGGGGGACGGAGAAGGCUAUGUUGGCCGGGCGACGGUUGUCCCGGUUUAAGCGUGUAGGUGUGUGUUCCAGGUAAAUCCGGUUCACUUUAACACUGAGGCGUGAUGACGAGGCACUACGGUGCUGAAGCAACAAAUGCCCUGCUUCCAGGAAAAGCCUCUAAGCAUCAGGUAACAUCAAAUCGUACCCCAAACCGACACAGGUGGUCAGGUAGAGAAUACCAAGGCGCUUGAGAGAACUCGGGUGAAGGAACUAGGCAAAAUGGUGCCGUAACUUCGGGAGAAGGCACGCUGACACGUAGGUGAAGUGAUUUACUCAUGGAGCUGAAGUCAGUCGAAGAUACCAGCUGGCUGCAACUGUUUAUUAAAAACACAGCACUGUGCAAACACGAAAGUGGACGUAUACGGUGUGACGCCUGCCCGGUGCCGGAAGGUUAAUUGAUGGGGUCAGCGCAAGCGAAGCUCCUGAUCGAAGCCCCGGUAAACGGCGGCCGUAACUAUAACGGUCCUAAGGUAGCGAAAUUCCUUGUCGGGUAAGUUCCGACCUGCACGAAUGGCGUAAUGAUGGCCAGGCUGUCUCCACCCGAGACUCAGUGAAAUUGAACUCGCUGUGAAGAUGCAGUGUACCCGCGGCAAGACGGAAAGACCCCGUGAACCUUUACUAUAGCUUGACACUGAACAUUGAGCCUUGAUGUGUAGGAUAGGUGGGAGGCUUUGAAGUGUGGACGCCAGUCUGCAUGGAGCCGACCUUGAAAUACCACCCUUUAAUGUUUGAUGUUCUAACGUGGACCCGUGAUCCGGGUUGCGGACAGUGUCUGGUGGGUAGUUUGACUGGGGCGGUCUCCUCCUAAAGAGUAACGGAGGAGCACGAAGGUUGGCUAAUCCUGGUCGGACAUCAGGAGGUUAGUGCAAUGGCAUAAGCCAGCUUGACUGCGAGCGUGACGGCGCGAGCAGGUGCGAAAGCAGGUCAUAGUGAUCCGGUGGUUCUGAAUGGAAGGGCCAUCGCUCAACGGAUAAAAGGUACUCCGGGAUAACAGGCUGAUACCGCCCAAGAGUUCAUAUCGACGGCGGUGUUUGGCACCUCGAUGUCGGCUCAUCACAUCCUGGGGCUGAAGUAGGUCCCAAGGGUAUGGCUGUUCGCCAUUUAAAGUGGUACGCGAGCUGGGUUUAGAACGUCGUGAGACAGUUCGGUCCCUAUCUGCCGUGGGCGCUGGAGAACUGAGGGGGGCUGCUCCUAGUACGAGAGGACCGGAGUGGACGCAUCACUGGUGUUCGGGUUGUCAUGCCAAUGGCACUGCCCGGUAGCUAAAUGCGGAAGAGAUAAGUGCUGAAAGCAUCUAAGCACGAAACUUGCCCCGAGAUGAGUUCUCCCUGAGACUUUAGGUCUCCUGAAGGAACGUUGAAGACGACGACGUUGAUAGGCCGGGUGUGUAAGCGCAGCGAUGCGUUGAGCUAACCGGUACUAAUGAACCGUGAGGCUUAACCUUACAACGCCGAAG
Molecule: ribosomal RNA, 2921 nt
Filed under: Salmonella enterica subsp. enterica
Lineage: Bacteria; Pseudomonadati; Pseudomonadota; Gammaproteobacteria; Enterobacterales; Enterobacteriaceae
Also listed under: 1 other name
Description: bacterial LSU rRNA
Rfam family: Bacterial large subunit ribosomal RNA
Source: RNAcentral